Molecule: non-coding RNA, 87 nt
Organism: Kyrpidia tusciae DSM 2912
Lineage: Bacteria; Bacillati; Bacillota; Bacilli; Caryophanales; Alicyclobacillaceae
Source: Rfam
GUUGUAUCAGGGCAAACUAGCGGAAACGCUAGGACGCAAAGCCACGGGUCUAAGGGCACAUGUGCCUAUGAUCGCCGGGUUGCCACU